GACGAACGCUGGCGGCGUGCUUAACACAUGCAAGUCGAACGGAAAGGCCCUGCUUUUGUGGGGUGCUCGAGUGGCGAACGGGUGAGUAACACGUGAGUAACCUGCCCUUGACUUUGGGAUAACUUCAGGAAACUGGGGCUAAUACCGGAUAGGAGCUCCUGCUGCAUGGUGGGGGUUGGAAAGUUUCGGCGGUUGGGGAUGGACUCGCGGCUUAUCAGCUUGUUGGUGGGGUAGUGGCUUACCAAGGCUUUGACGGGUAGCCGGCCUGAGAGGGUGACCGGGCACAUUGGGACUGGGGAAAGGCCCAAAAUCCUACGGGGGGCAACAGUGGGGAAAAUUGCACAAAGGGGGGAAGUCUGAAGCAACAACCCCGCGGGCGGGAAGGCGGGCGUUGGGGUGUAAACCGCUUUCGCCUGGGACGAAGCGGGGGUGACGGUAAUGGGUAAAGAAGCACCGGCUAACUACGUG
Molecule: ribosomal RNA, 468 nt
Filed under: uncultured bacterium
Lineage: Bacteria
Description: partial 16S ribosomal RNA
Rfam family: Bacterial small subunit ribosomal RNA
Source: RNAcentral